RNAcentral lists this ribosomal RNA (893 nucleotides) under uncultured bacterium. RNAcentral's name for it is "bacterial SSU rRNA". It matches the Rfam family "Bacterial small subunit ribosomal RNA", at positions 56 to 947 of the family's 1533-position model. The record is from RNAcentral.
UGCAGUCGAACGGUAACAUUUCUAGCUUGCUAGAAGAUGACGAGUGGCGGACGGGUGAGUAAUGCUUGGGAACUUGCCUUUGCGAGGGGGAUAACAGUUGGAAACGACUGCUAAUACCGCAUAAUGUCUUUGGACCAAACGGGGCUUCGGCUCCGGCGCACAGAGAGGCCCAAGUGAGAUUAGCUAGUUGGUAAGGUAACGGCUUACCAAGGCGACGAUCUCUAGCUGUUCUGAGAGGAAGAUCAGCCACACUGGGACUGAGACACGGCCCAGACUCCUACGGGAGGCAGCAGUGGGGAAUAUUGCACAAUGGGGGAAACCCUGAUGCAGCCACGCCGCGUGUGUGAAGAAGGCCUUCGGGUUGUAAAGCACUUUCAGUUGUGAGGAAAAGUUAGUAGUUAAUACCUGCUAGCCGUGACGUUAACAACAGAAGAAGCACCGGCUAACUCCGUGCCAGCAGCCGCGGUAAUACGGAGGGUGCGAGCGUUAAUCGGAAUUACUGGGCGUAAAGCGCACGCAGGCGGUUUGCUAAGCUAGAUGUGAAAGCCCCGGGCUCAACCUGGGAUGGUCAUUUAGAACUGGCAGACUAGAGUCUUGGAGAGGGGAGUGGAAUUCCAGGUGUAGCGGUGAAAUGCGUAGAUAUCUGGAGGAACAUCAGUGGCGAAGGCGACUCCCUGGCCAAAGACUGACGCUCAUGUGCGAAAGUGUGGGUAGCGAACAGGAUUAGAUACCCUGGUAGUCCACACCGUAAACGCUGUCUACUAGCUGUGUGUGUCUUUAAGACGUGCGUAGCGAAGCUAACGCGCUAAGUAGACCGCCUGGGGAGUANNNCCGCAAGGUUAAAACUCAAAUGNAUUGACGGGGGCCCGCACAAGCGGNGGANCACGUGGUUU